RNAcentral lists this ribosomal RNA (875 nucleotides) under Drepanopeziza populi-albae. RNAcentral's name for it is "LSU rRNA". It matches the Rfam family "Eukaryotic large subunit ribosomal RNA", at positions 75 to 966 of the family's 3401-position model. Lineage: Eukaryota; Fungi; Ascomycota; Leotiomycetes; Helotiales; Drepanopezizaceae. The record is from RNAcentral.
UUACCUCAGUAACGGCGAGUGAAGCGGUAACAGCUCAAAUUUGAAAGCUGGCUCCUCUAGGGCCCGCGUUGUAAUUUGCAGAAGAUGCUUCGGGUGUGGCCCCGGUCUAAGUUCCUUGGAACAGGACGUCAUAGAGGGUGAGAAUCCCGUAUGUGACUGGGCGCCUCCGCCCAUGUGAAGCUCUUUCGACGAGUCGAGUUGUUUGGGAAUGCAGCUCAAAAUGGGUGGUAAAUUUCAUCUAAAGCUAAAUAUUGGCCAGAGACCGAUAGCGCACAAGUAGAGUGAUCGAAAGAUGAAAAGCACUUUGGAAAGAGAGUUAAACAGUACGUGAAAUUGUUGAAAGGGAAGCGCUUGCAACCAGACUUGCGCGUGGGUGAUCAUCCGGGCUUCUGCCCGGUGCACUCGCCCGCGCUCAGGCCAGCAUCGGUUUCGGUGGUGGGAUAAAGGCCUUGGGAACGUAGCUCCCCUCGGGGAGUGUUAUAGCCCUCGGUGCAAUGCCGCCCACCGGGACCGAGGACCGCGCUUCGGCUAGGAUGCUGGCGUAAUGGUUGUAAGCGACCCGUCUUGAAACACGGACCAAGGAGUCUAACAUCUAUGCGAGUGUUUGGGUGUCAAACCCAUACGCGUAAUGAAAGUGAACGGAGGUGAGAACCCUGAAGGGUGCAUCAUCGACCGAUCCUGAUGUCUUCGGAUGGAUUUGAGUAAGAGCAUAGCUGUUGGGACCCGAAAGAUGGUGAACUAUGCGUGAAUAGGGUGAAGCCAGAGGAAACUCUGGUGGAGGCUCGCAGCGGUUCUGACGUGCAAAUCGAUCGUCAAAUUUGCGUAUAGGGGCGAAAGACUAAUCGAACCAUCUAGUAGCUGGUUUCCUGCCGAAG